Small nuclear RNA from Salvia miltiorrhiza (redroot sage), 153 nucleotides. RefSeq annotates it as U12 minor spliceosomal RNA. The transcript has a single exon. Lineage: Eukaryota; Viridiplantae; Streptophyta; Magnoliopsida; Lamiales; Lamiaceae. The record is from RefSeq and is a predicted model, not a curated record.
UUGCCUUAAACUAAUGAGUAAGGAAAACAAAGCGGAAGGUGAGAACCGGCCGCCGCAUCUCCAGUAAUGGUGCAUGAAUUUAUGGAGGGGUAAUAGGCUGGCCGAGUGUAGACGCUGCCUCUUCUGCAGAACUCACUCUGGCGGGCCUCCCAC